RNAcentral lists this transfer RNA (77 nucleotides) under Bacteroidota bacterium. RNAcentral describes it as "Bacteroidetes bacterium (marine metagenome) tRNA-Thr". It matches the Rfam family "tRNA". From Rfam's summary of the family: Transfer RNA (tRNA) molecules are approximately 80 nucleotides in length. Their secondary structure includes four short double-helical elements and three loops (D, anti-codon, and T loops). Lineage: Bacteria; Pseudomonadati; Bacteroidota. The record is from RNAcentral.
GCCGAUGUAGCUCAGUUGGUCAGAGCAGCUGAUUUGUAAUCAGCAGGUCGUGGGUUCGAAUCCCUCCAUCGGCUCCU